UACAGGGGGUGCAAACGUUGCUCGGAAUCAUUGGGCGUAAAGCGCACGUAGGCGGUCUGUUAUGUCGGAUGUGAAAGCCCUUGGCUUAACUGAGGAAGUGCAUCCGAAACUGGCAGGCUAGAGUACUAAAGAGGGUCGCGGAAUUCCCGGUGUAGAGGUGAAAUUCGUAGAUAUCGGGAGGAACACCGGUGGCGCAAGCGGCGAACUGGCCGAGACCUGACGCUGAGACGCGACGGCGUGGGGAGCAAACCGG
This 253-nucleotide ribosomal RNA is filed under the name uncultured bacterium. RNAcentral's name for it is "partial 16S ribosomal RNA". It matches the Rfam family "Bacterial small subunit ribosomal RNA", at positions 524 to 776 of the family's 1533-position model. The record is from RNAcentral.